Molecule: ribosomal RNA, 496 nt
Filed under: uncultured bacterium
Lineage: Bacteria
Description: partial 16S ribosomal RNA
Rfam family: Bacterial small subunit ribosomal RNA
Source: RNAcentral
AUUGAACGCUGGCGGCAUGCCUAACACAUGCAAGUCGCACGCGAAAGGGGGCAACCCUGAGUAGAGUGGCGGACAGGUGAGUAACGCGUAGGAAUCUACCUGGUAGUGGGGGACAACCCGGUGAAAACCGGGCUAAUACCGCAUACGAUCCACGGAUGAAAGCAGGGGACCGCAAGGCCUUGCGCUAUCAGAUGAGCCUGCGUCGGAUUAGCUAGUUGGUGGGGUAAAGGCCCACCAAGGCGACGAUCCGUAGCUGGUUUGAGAGAACGACCAGCCACACUGGGACUGAGACACGGCCCAGACUCCUACGGGAGGCAGCAGUGGGGAAUAUUGGACAAUGGGGGCAACCCUGAUCCAGCAAUGCCGCAUGUGUGAAGAAGGCCUUCGGGUUGUAAAGCACUUUCGGUGGGGACAAACAAGGUGGAGCUAACAUCUCCGCCUCUGAUGGUACCCAAAGAAGAAGCACCGGCUAACUCUGUGCCAGCAGCCGCGGUAA